This 451-nucleotide ribosomal RNA is filed under the name uncultured bacterium. RNAcentral's name for it is "bacterial SSU rRNA". It matches the Rfam family "Bacterial small subunit ribosomal RNA", at positions 340 to 785 of the family's 1533-position model. The record is from RNAcentral.
UACGGAAGGCAGCAGUGGGGAAUAUUGCACAAUGGGCGCAAGCCUGAUGCAGCCAUGCCGCGUGUAUGAAGAAGGCCUUCGGGUUGUAAAGUACUUUCAGUCGUGAGGAAGGUGUUAAGGUUAAUAACCUUAGCAAUUGACGUUAGCGACAGAAGAAGCACCGGCUAACUCCGUGCCAGCAGCCGCGGUAAUACGGAGGGUGCGAGCGUUAAUCGGAAUUACUGGGCGUAAAGGGCACGCAGGCGGUUAAUUAAGUUGGAUGUGAAAUCCCCGGGCUUAACCUGGGAAUGGCAUUCAAGACUGGUUAGCUAGAGUCUUGUAGAGGGGGUAGAAUUCCAUGUGUAGCGGUGAAAUGCGUAGAGAUGUGGAGGAAUACCGGUGGCGAAGGCGGCCCCUGGACAAGACUGACGCUCAUGUGCGAAAGCGUGGGGAGCGAAACAGGAUUAGAUAC